This 356-nucleotide unclassified non-coding RNA is filed under the name uncultured Pezizomycetes. RNAcentral's name for it is "sequence contains ITS1". The stretch from base 1 to 105 matches the Rfam family "5.8S ribosomal RNA", at positions 50 to 154 of the family's 154-position model. The record is from RNAcentral. Lineage: Eukaryota; Fungi; Ascomycota; Pezizomycetes.
GAAAUGCGAUAAGUAGUGUGAAUUGCAGAAUUCAGUGAAUCAUCGAAUCUUUGAACGCACAUUGCGCCUUCCGGUAUUCCGGGAGGCAUGCCUGUCCGAACGUCAUCAAGCCCCUCGCCUGCAUCCUUUGCAUGUCAAAGGUAGCAUGGGCGGUACUUGGCAGAUGGUCGCCCUAGCGCGUCCACCGCCGAAAUGCAUCGGCAGACCCACCAUGGCUGUGAUUGUGAUAAGGUUUUACUUACAGUUACAAGCCUGGUAGGCGUCUCGCCACAAGCGUCCGGCUGGUCCUCCACGGGAUCUCCGGCACAAACCAAUCUUUUGACUUCGGAUCAGGUAGGGAUACCCGCUGAACUUAA